GACGGGUGAGUAACACGUAGGAAUCUACCUUAAAGUUGGGGAAUAACUCGAGGAAACUCGAGCUAAUGCCGCAUAUCUUCCAAGGAAGAAAGCUGGGGAUCUUCGGACCUGGCGCUUUAAGAUGAGCCUGCGGCGGAUUAGCUAGUUGGAGUGGUAAAGGCACACCAAGGCAACGAUCCGUAGCUGGUCUGAGAGGACGAACAGCCACACUGGGACUGAGACACGGCCCAGACUCC
RNAcentral lists this ribosomal RNA (236 nucleotides) under uncultured bacterium. RNAcentral's name for it is "partial 16S ribosomal RNA". It matches the Rfam family "Bacterial small subunit ribosomal RNA", at positions 102 to 339 of the family's 1533-position model. The record is from RNAcentral.